This 2549-nucleotide long non-coding RNA is filed under the name Oreochromis niloticus (Nile tilapia). RNAcentral describes it as "lncRNA (ENSONIG00000040786.1)". Lineage: Eukaryota; Metazoa; Chordata; Actinopteri; Cichliformes; Cichlidae. The record is from RNAcentral.
AUGUUAGCCCGGUCGGAGCGGGAUUCUUGGAGCCACAAGUACCGGAGACAGCUUUCCACUGACGUCCAGCAGUACCGGCAUAUGACGGAGAUACUACACCGGUCGAGCGGAAUGGCAGUGCAUGGUUUGUCUGGAGAUGCUGUGAGUCUGAAGGGAACUCUGUCAGCGUAUGAGGAAAACGUCCCAAUAGGUGAGUUUAUCAAUUCCAAUUUAAUGCUGUCAAACCAUCUUUAACUAAUUAUAUAUAAUAUAUAUAAAAUUGGUGAUUGCUCACCAGUUAUGAACAUUCAUUGAAAUACUUGGAAAUUCCACAUUUCAAGAGCGUUACUAGAGACUGUCACACGUUUUUUUUCCCAAAAUUUUCAGUGUUAUGAUGCAAGUCAAGUUACAGUAAGUACUUUCUUGACAGAUGAUUGGUUAACACUACAAGUAAACGUGAGUGUUAGUGAAUAUGAAAAUGCUGUAUCAGUGAUGAAGUUGUUUAUCUAUGAUGUGAUCAAAGUAGAGCUGAAUCAGAAUAGUUUACUAUUCUUAUACUAUAUACGUAGUUAUUCUAUCUUCUUAUAGAAAUACUAGAAUAACUCGCACGUUAAUGGCUAUUUUUUAAUAUCACAUCAUCACUGCAUUGUCAAUGAUGUUUUCCCCUCCUGUAAGAAUUCCACUUGGGAGUAAGGCUCACCUGUCUAUUGUAUCAUUCAGCAAACUCUGAGAUUUGCAGCUGAGAAUGCCAGUCUGGGUCAGGUGUAGCUCAUAUGUCUGUGAAGGUUCUCAGUCAUCCAGGUCAUCGUAGUCAAAGGAGUUUGCAAAGAAAAGCGUCUGGACUUCUUCGAGUUGCUUGAAGACGUUUCACCUCUCAUCCGAGAAGAACUGAAGAAGCUUCUCGGAUGAGAGGUGAAACGUCUUCAAGCAACUCGAAGAAGUCCAGACGCUUUUCUUUGCAAACUCCUUUGACUGUAGCUCAUAUGGUCAUGACAAAAUAGCCAUUAACAGGUACUAGAGGCUAGACAGCUUUGGUAAAGGUCCUGGUAAAACCUUGUGUUAGGAUGCCUGGGUCGACCCAGAGGUUUCGAGUUUAUUAUAUUAUUUAUCAUUUCUAGUCUUUGGUUUCUUUGUUGAAGUUCUGUCUGAUGGUUUAUGUCUCUGUGUAAUCCUUAGUUGCUGUCUCCCCUGUCGGCUAUAUCCCCGUGUCCAGUCAGUGUCUGUCUGCCCUGUUCCCACCUCUCUGUUCCCUCUGUAGUGCUUGCCUGUGAGUCUGUGUCUGUAAGUUCAGUCUGUGUUACUUCCUGUUUUACUUUGAAGGUCCGCGUCUUAUCUGAAUGUGUCCUGCUUUGCUUCCUUGUCUCGUUAGUUCUGAUUUCUCCCAGUUGUGCCCUCCUUCUGUGUCUCAUUCCCCUCAAAGGAGUUGCAAAGAAAAGCGUCUGGACUUCUUUAAGUUGCUUGAAGACGUUUCACCUCUCAUCCGAGAAGCUUCUUCAGUUCUAAGGUCAAAAGGCCGAGAGUCCCAGAUUUAAACCCAGUGGGAGUAUCCCCCCAAGGAGGGACAAAGGACCCCCUGGUGAUCCUCUAAUCACAUGCGCCAAGGUGUGAAAGCGGGUGUGGGACCUAAUCAGCCAGGGUUUCGGGUGAGCCCAUUGUGAAACCUGGCCCCACCUUGUCAUGUGAAUUCCUGAGGUCAGAUGGCCCAGGAUGUGAGUGGGCGUUAAGGCGUCUGGGGAGGGAACUCAAAACUGGAUUAUAGAUGGCAGACAGUUGGUGUCGUAAACCACCACCUCUGUUCAAAGAUGGUCGCUCACAGUGGACAUAGAUGGCCUCUUUCACUCCUCUUUCAAAGACGCCUUAACGCCCACUCACAUCCUGGGCCAUCUGACCUCAGGAAUUCACAUGACAAGGUGGGGCCAGGUUUCACAAUGGGCUCACCCGAAACCCUGGCUGAUUAGGUCCCACACCCGCUUUCACACCUUGGCGCAUGUGAUUAGAGGAUCACCAGGGGGUCCUUUGUCCCUCCUUGGGGGGAUACUCCCACUGGGUUUAAAUCUGGGACUCUCGGCCAUUUGACCUUAGAACUGAAGAAGCUUCUCGGAUGAGAGGUGAAACGUCUUCAAGCAACUUAAAGAAGUCCAGACGCUUUUCUUUGCAACUCCUUUGACUACGAUGACCUGGAUGACUGAGAACCUUCACAGACAUAUCUCAUUCCCCUCGUUACUUCCCAGUGUACUUAAACCCUGUGUUUCUUUGAGUCAGUGUCGCGUCGUCCCUCAUGCUGUGUGGAUCUCCCUGUGUUUCCUGUGAGUUUAUGUUGUUUCCUAGUUUAGUUUAGUUUAGUUUAGUUUGCUUUCCUUUGUAUGCUUGUUUUCCCGUGCCAGCAAAUAAAGCUGAGUAUUUUGAGUUCAUCCCUUGAGUCUGAGUCCUGCAUUUUGGGUCCAUCACUCCUGCUUGCCUGCCUGCCACACAGCCAACCUUAACACCUUGGUGCACAGUCACAUUGCUAAUAGGUAAACAGUGGCUGGCUAUAAACAAAAUUCCCUGCUCACCUUUGCGGGUGGCAUUUU